This 254-nucleotide ribosomal RNA is filed under the name uncultured bacterium. Its description in RNAcentral is "partial 16S ribosomal RNA". It matches the Rfam family "Bacterial small subunit ribosomal RNA", at positions 524 to 776 of the family's 1533-position model. The record is from RNAcentral.
UACGGGGGGGGGCAAGCGUUGUUCGGAAUUACUGGGCGUAAAGCGCGUGUAGGUGGCGAUGUAAGUCGGGUGUGAAAUCCCUCGGCUCAACCGAGGAAGUGCACUCGAUACUGUGUCGCUUGAGUGUUGGAGGGGAUGGCGGAAUUCCCGGUGUAGAGGUGAAAUUCGUAGAUAUCGGGAGGAACACCUGUGGCGAAGGCGGCCAUCUGGACAACUACUGACACUGAGACGCGAAAGCGUGGGUAGCAAACAGG